UCCCUUUUCUCCUCAACCGGGCUAGAGGCCAAGAUCAGCCUUCCAGGGUCAUCACCAGGACUGCCACAAGCUAGGAACCCUGUUUUCCUAACUCAGAUAUUU
This 102-nucleotide non-coding RNA is filed under the name Carlito syrichta (Philippine tarsier). The record is from RNAcentral. Lineage: Eukaryota; Metazoa; Chordata; Mammalia; Primates; Tarsiidae.